RNAcentral lists this long non-coding RNA (1435 nucleotides) under Coturnix japonica (Japanese quail). RNAcentral's name for it is "lncRNA (ENSCJPG00005005080.1)". Lineage: Eukaryota; Metazoa; Chordata; Aves; Galliformes; Phasianidae. The record is from RNAcentral.
GAGGAUUGCAGCCUCCCAGGAACAUCAAAUAAUAGAUAACUUUUUCUCAUAUUUUCAGGAAGAAAAAAAUCCAUGGAGAAUAUAUUUGUUUUAACAAGAUCACAGGUUUGCUGCAUAAUGAGACUGCUCUGAGGCUUACCUGGCAAGAAAUGCCUUGUUUGGUACGUCUUCUUUUCUUCCCUAGAUUCCCCUAUCAAUUCUUCAGCUAGACAGAACUUAAUCACCCAUUUUCUUACUGGUGGGCAAUGUGUUUUAGCAGAGACCUUCCUCCACCCUAGAGACAAUGGUAAUCUGCACUGUCUUAUCAGUGUUGUGACUUUGUGGCUGAAAUGCCAGUUUCAAUGGCUUGAGUGAAUAAUUUGGGCAAAAUUUGGUUGGUUGUUUUUUGGUUUCUUUGUUUGUUUGCUUGUUGUUAUUAUUUCAGUCUUUUCAUCCUUCCUUCAAUUGACCAUCUUGAAAGAAGAGAAAUCCCUUCUUAGACCCUACUGAGGAGCAGAGAAUGACUUGGGGAGUGCACAACAAUUCUUUCUAGUCUAAUUGUAGAUGUAUUAUACUCCAGCCUGAAAAGUAAUUGCAAGUCCUUGAGGCUCAUAAGGGAUUUGAAUCCUUUGCUGACUAAGGAUGCAAUUUAAAUAAAUGCACAUCUUUAAGCAGGUCAUAAAGCAUCAUUAAGCCAGAGGAGACAAGGAAGCCUCACUUCUGAUUUUGAAUGGAAGGACUCCUGACUACCUUUGAGCACUCGUCUGAUAUCCAGUAAGCAACUAUCAAACUUGCCAAAUGCAACAAGCUUUGCUGAACCCCUCCCAUAGUCACUGCUGUUUGCAGUGAAUUCAGCAGAGUCAAGGGGAAAGAACAUGGUGGAUUCCUGGCUCAAAGAUUUUUAAAUUACCUCAAUGCCAGCAUACCCAGUGCAGUGUAAGGACAUACUGCUAUAAUACUGACACCACCUCUGUGGCUCUGAGAUGUCCACGAGCCAUGGAGCCAUCACAAGUGAGCUUUCCAUGUUCUGAUGAUAAACCAGUGAUGGUGUUUUCAGAUGUAAUUUCUGGACAUGUUUAAUGCAUUUACAUAUUUACCUAUUCUUAUUUCAAGCUGUCUGAGCUAGCCCAAAGACCUCGGGUAACUUCAUGACAAAAGAAACAGUGCUUGCAUGUUAGGGAAGGUAGAGCUGCAACUGUGCCUUCAGCUUUCCUUGUGCUCAGUCUAAAUUGAUUCAGUGGUGUUUCUGUAACCAAUAUCUGAAGAGGACUGUGGAUAGGUAUUGGCUUUGUGAUAAGCAUCUAGAUCAUUAAGCUGUCUCUUUCCCAGGGAUUUAUGCAUACCAAAGAUGCUCUUGGCUAGCAGUAUCUUGACCCUAAGUUCUUCCAGAAACAAAAGUUCCAUGAUGCUUUCUGUGUGUUUCUGCAUCUUAUGAUUUGUGAGCCAGUCAGUCAGU